RNAcentral lists this unclassified non-coding RNA (258 nucleotides) under Rhizophagus sp. (in: glomeromycetes). RNAcentral's name for it is "partial contains 5.8S ribosomal RNA and internal transcribed spacer 2". The stretch from base 1 to 65 matches the Rfam family "5.8S ribosomal RNA", at positions 84 to 154 of the family's 154-position model. The record is from RNAcentral. Lineage: Eukaryota; Fungi; Glomeromycota; Glomeromycetes; Glomerales; Glomeraceae.
GUGAAUCAUCGAAUCUUUGAACGCAAAUUGCACUCUCUUCGGAGAGUAUGCCGGGUUGAGGGUCAGUAUUAAUAAAAAUCGGUGUGUUGCUGCUUGGUGACGCUCCGGAGUUUGGGUCAUCUUAAUAUAUUGUAGGUUUUAAGAGGCUUAAAAUUGACUUUUUUUGCGCAUUAUAGAUGUACAUAAAUUCUUUUGUUUAUUCGUCUGUCUUAUUGCGCAAUAUCCUAUUAGAUGCGACCAUAUCGAGUGGAUUCGUGU